This 380-nucleotide long non-coding RNA is filed under the name Ursus americanus (American black bear). RNAcentral's name for it is "lncRNA (ENSUAMG00000022253.1)". Lineage: Eukaryota; Metazoa; Chordata; Mammalia; Carnivora; Ursidae. The record is from RNAcentral.
UGUAGUCAAUAUCGCUUGUUGUGACAUUCCAGGCCUCGCGCGGUCUUUCUUUGCCAUAGUGAAAGCGGGUUUUUUUUUGUUGUUGUUUGUUUUUUUUUUUUUUUCAGAUUAUAGUCCCAUUUGCUAAGAUACAGGAAUAGCCCGGCGAAUCACAGUUGGAGCACCAUGAUAUAGCUGCUAAUGUUUUGCCUGCAUUAUUACACCAACAAACAUGAUCCAGAGCGCUCAGUUGCUAUUUCUGCAGAUGUCAAAGAAGUUCUGUUAACUGAUGGGAAUGAAAAGGCCAUCAGAAACGUGGGAGACAUCAUCACAAGGAAUCAGAAGGCUGGUGCAUUUAAAACUCGGAAAAUAUCAAGCUGGUAAGAUACCUUUCUUUAUUA